Molecule: ribosomal RNA, 403 nt
Filed under: uncultured bacterium
Lineage: Bacteria
Description: bacterial SSU rRNA
Rfam family: Bacterial small subunit ribosomal RNA
Source: RNAcentral
AUUGAACGCUGGCGGCAGGCCUAACACAUGCAAGUCGAACGGCAGCGGGGGGUAGCUUGCUACUCUGCCGGCGAGUGGCGGACGGGUGAGUAAUGCCUGGGGAGCUGCCCAAUCGAGGGGGAUACCAGUUGGAAACGACUGCUAAUACCGCAUACGCCCUGAGGGGGAAAGGUGGGGAUCUUCGGACCUACCGCGAUUGGAUGCACCCAGGUGGGAUUAGCUAGUUGGUGAGGUAACGGCUCACCAAGGCGACGAUCUCUAGCUGGUCUGAGAGGAUGACCAGCCACACUGGAACUGAGACACGGUCCAGACUCCUACGGGAGGCAGCAGUGGGGAAUAUUGCACAAUGGGGGAAACCCUGAUGCAGCCAUGCCGCGUGUGUGAAGAAGGCCUCGGUUGUAAG